GAAGCGUCAUUUGUUAGUUAUAUAACCCAAGAAUGUAAUACGGAAGUUGGUUGCCAUUACAUUCCUGAAUAUGCAAUUGUACAGCAUAGGCAUGUGAAUCAUUCAGUUCCUUAUGUGUGUUGUUGUAUUGAUCGGAAUGCAGACAUCAAGACCAGAGUACAAUCAAAUCCUUGUGAAGAUGCCUGGGGUUGUGACUUAUAGGGAAAUCAGGUGCUCUAGCAAUUGCAGUUGCUAAUCCUACUGAAUCUUUUGAAAGUCCAACUUCAAUCAGAAGGAAAAUUGUCACUUGUGUACAUAGUUGUACACAAGUGAAGAUGGUGUUACUGAGAUUUCAAGGGUGUUAGAACUGUUGAUUUUAUGAAUAUGAGAUGGAGACAGUACUUACUUUGUGUGAUUUAGAGUCUGCAGUGACUAAGAUGAUAACAAAAUGAAGAAGCGCUGUGUAUUGUUGUUGGCUGAGCACUUACAGGGUAUGGAUGAGCUGCAGCUAGAUAUGAAGCAAUUGCAGGUGAUGCUAUGGGAAAUUUGGAAGAAUGGGUUUGCUUCUAUGUUGCAGUACAAAGAAUGGUGCAUCUGAGUAAUUGGUGCUAUUGAGAUGGUAGAACUCUAAAGUGGUGAUCAGGUGAAUAAAUAUCAAAUGCCGAUGGAAUUGCAAAGAUAAAAUCUGAAAUGUGUGAUGUUGGUGGUACUGAGGAGCAGAAUUUAUGUUGUUAUUGGAUGGGUAGUGUUGCUGCAGAAAAGUGCAACUAAGAUUGGAAAGCUACAGAAACGGAUAAAACAUUUGAGUUGAAUGGUUGAGGUGUUGUAGUUGUUUGCAGCAGAAGGGUAAAGAGUGGUUGAGCGUUGGAGCUGGUGUUGGUAAUGAGUUUCGGUUGUAAACAGGUUGUAUUUUGUAGAUGUGUACAUGUUUGUAUGCCAAUGUAAACUAAAUAUUUUAAAAAAUGAGAACUAUAUAGUCAUAUGGGUACUCUUUUUGUA
Molecule: long non-coding RNA, 978 nt
Organism: Papaver somniferum (opium poppy)
Lineage: Eukaryota; Viridiplantae; Streptophyta; Magnoliopsida; Ranunculales; Papaveraceae
Exons: 2
Source: RefSeq, a predicted model, not a curated record